Molecule: ribosomal RNA, 346 nt
Filed under: uncultured bacterium
Lineage: Bacteria
Description: partial 16S ribosomal RNA
Rfam family: Bacterial small subunit ribosomal RNA
Source: RNAcentral
CCUACGGGAGGCAGCAGUGAGGAAUAUUGGUCAAUGGGCGGAAGCCUGAACCAGCCAAGUAGCGUGCAGGAUGACGGCCCUACGGGUUGUAAACUGCUUUUAUACGGGAAUAACGCGCCGUACGUGUAGGGCUUUGCAUGUACCGUAUGAAUAAGGACCGGCUAAGUCCGUGCCAGCAGCCGCGGUAAUACGGAAGGUCCGGGCGUUAUCCGGAUUUCUUGGGUUUAAAGGGAGCGUAGGCCGCAUGUCAAGCGUGCUGUGAAAUGUCCGGGCUCAACCCGGGCCUUGCCGCGCGAACUGGCGUGCUUGAGUCCGCGGCAAGCAGGCGGAAUUCGUCGUGUAGCGG